CUACGGGUUGCAGCAGUGAGGAAUUUUGCGCAAUGGGGGGAACCCUGACGCAGCAACGCCGCGUGAGUGAUGAAGGCUUUCGGGUCGUAAAGCUCUGUCAAGUGGGAAGAACCUAUGCAGUGUUAAUAUCACUGUAUACUGACGGUACCACUGAAGGAAGCACCGGCUAACUCCGUGCCAGCAGCCGCGGUAAUACGGGGGGUGCAAGCGUUAUUCGGAAUCAUUGGGCGUAAAGGGCACGUAGGCGGCUUGGUAAGUCAGAUGUGAAAGCCCGGGGCUUAACCCCGGAAGUGCAUUUGAUACUGUCAGGCUUGAGUAUGGGAGAGGGAAGUGGAAUUCCUGGUUUAGAGGUGAAAUUCGUAGAUAUCAGGAGGAACACCGGUGGCGAAGGCGACUUCCUGGACCAAUACUGACGCUGAGGUGCGAAGGCGUGGGUAGCAAACAGGAUUAGAUACCCUAGUAGUC
RNAcentral lists this ribosomal RNA (465 nucleotides) under uncultured bacterium. Its description in RNAcentral is "partial 16S ribosomal RNA". It matches the Rfam family "Bacterial small subunit ribosomal RNA", at positions 339 to 795 of the family's 1533-position model. The record is from RNAcentral.